AAUCUUAUCAUUACCCAAAUUAAAACUCCUUUAGAAGAACCUUCAAACAAGACAAAGUUAUUAAGAUUGUUUUUUAUGCGCAAAACGAAAAAAGAAAAAAAAGAAAGAAGAGCAAGUCAUUGCAGAUGGAUGCAAGUUUAAAAACACUUGAAAGAAUGCAAGCACAAAUUGCCAAAGCAGAAAUUGAGGAGGAUCAACCUAUU
RNAcentral lists this long non-coding RNA (203 nucleotides) under Nicotiana benthamiana. RNAcentral's name for it is "long non-coding RNA (NBEN_LNC000112)". The record is from RNAcentral. Lineage: Eukaryota; Viridiplantae; Streptophyta; Magnoliopsida; Solanales; Solanaceae.